GGGAGCGUAUUUCAGUGGUAGAAAAGCGAUCUCAUAAAUCGUAAGUCGCAGGUUCGAAUCCUGCCGCUCCCACCA
This 75-nucleotide transfer RNA is filed under the name Chloroflexota bacterium. RNAcentral describes it as "Chloroflexi bacterium (sediment metagenome) tRNA-Met". It matches the Rfam family "tRNA". Rfam says of the family: Transfer RNA (tRNA) molecules are approximately 80 nucleotides in length. Their secondary structure includes four short double-helical elements and three loops (D, anti-codon, and T loops). The record is from RNAcentral. Lineage: Bacteria; Bacillati; Chloroflexota.